This is a non-coding RNA of Diplonema papillatum, 73 nucleotides long. NCBI's taxonomy places the organism in Eukaryota, Euglenozoa, Diplonemea, Diplonemida, Diplonemidae. The record is from the annotation of a GenBank genome assembly.
UCCCCCUUGGCGCAGUCGGUAGCGCGUCAGGCUGUUAACCUGCAGGUCGUUGGUUCGAACCCAACAGGGGGAG